GGGCCUAUAGCUCAGUUGGUCAGAGCAGCGGACUCAUAAUCCGUUGGUCCUAGGUUCAAAUCCUAGUGGGCCCA
RNAcentral lists this transfer RNA (74 nucleotides) under Legionella fallonii LLAP-10. It matches the Rfam family "tRNA". Rfam says of the family: Transfer RNA (tRNA) molecules are approximately 80 nucleotides in length. Their secondary structure includes four short double-helical elements and three loops (D, anti-codon, and T loops). The record is from Rfam by way of RNAcentral. Lineage: Bacteria; Pseudomonadati; Pseudomonadota; Gammaproteobacteria; Legionellales; Legionellaceae.